RNAcentral lists this small nucleolar RNA (220 nucleotides) under Salmo salar (Atlantic salmon). RNAcentral describes it as "Small nucleolar RNA U3". It matches the Rfam family "Small nucleolar RNA U3". Rfam says of the family: Small nucleolar RNAs (snoRNAs) are involved in the processing and modification of rRNA in the nucleolus. There are two main classes of snoRNAs: the box C/D class, and the box H/ACA class. U3 snoRNA is a member of the box C/D class. The record is from Rfam by way of RNAcentral. Lineage: Eukaryota; Metazoa; Chordata; Actinopteri; Salmoniformes; Salmonidae.
AAGACUAUACUUUCAGGGAUAAUUUCUAUAGUUCGUUACUUGAGAAAUGUGUGUCUAAAGUGGUAGGUCUCGCUCUCCAUGAUGACGAUUCAAGAUAUUCCCAUUCAGAGCAUGAAAUCUGGUGGCUGGAAAAUGACCUUUGCUCAUGUUUCUUCAACCUUUGAUGAUCUUUCCUUGUUCUUCAAUGAACAUGCAUGAAGGGAAUAUGUUUCUGAGUGGA